CUUUUUCCUAAAACCCUAAACACGAUUCUAACUCAUUCCCAACUAAUUCCCUACCUUUUCUUGGUGAUUUAGACAUUCAGUUUGUUCUAAUCAAAUAUUUUCUGGGUUUUCUAUAUUGAAUCGUUCUUAAUCUGUUCCAAGAGACCCGUCGACUGCUCGUGCUUCGGAGUCUAUGCAGGGUUAGCUGUUUGCCAAGAUUCACGUGGAUAAGCAAGCAGUUUAUAAUUUGAAAGCUGGUUCACUCCGAUUCUUUUGAUUCUUUGGAGGUUUUUAUGUUAUUUAAACUAGUUACUGUUUUCGAACUCUUAGACCGCAGUAGAACUAGUUUAUUUAUUACAUUUGAUAUUAUAUUUUAGGAUU
This is a long non-coding RNA of Mercurialis annua (annual mercury), 360 nucleotides long. RefSeq lists it as uncharacterized. The transcript is spliced from 4 exons. NCBI's taxonomy places the organism in Eukaryota, Viridiplantae, Streptophyta, Magnoliopsida, Malpighiales, Euphorbiaceae. The record is from RefSeq and is a predicted model, not a curated record.